RNAcentral lists this ribosomal RNA (465 nucleotides) under Vreelandella stevensii. RNAcentral's name for it is "partial 16S ribosomal RNA". It matches the Rfam family "Bacterial small subunit ribosomal RNA", at positions 338 to 795 of the family's 1533-position model. The record is from RNAcentral. Lineage: Bacteria; Pseudomonadati; Pseudomonadota; Gammaproteobacteria; Oceanospirillales; Halomonadaceae.
CCUACGGGCGGCAGCAGUGGGGAAUAUUGGACAAUGGGCGAAAGCCUGAUCCAGCCAUGCCGCGUGUGUGAAGAAGGCCUUCGGGUUGUAAAGCACUUUCAGUGGGGAAGAAAGCCUUGGGGCUAAUACCCUCGAGGAAGGACAUCACCCACAGAAGAAGCACCGGCUAACUCCGUGCCAGCAGCCGCGGUAAUACGGAGGGUGCGAGCGUUAAUCGGAAUUACUGGGCGUAAAGCGCGCGUAGGCGGUCUGAUAAGCCGGUUGUGAAAGCCCCGGGCUCAACCUGGGAACGGCAUCCGAAACUGUCAGGCUAGAGUGCAGGAGAGGAAGGUAGAAUUCCCGGUGUAGCGGUGAAAUGCGUAGAGAUCGGGAGGAAUACCAGUGGCGAAGGCGGCCUUCUGGACUGACACUGACGCUGAGGUGCGAAAGCGUGGGUAGCAAACAGGAUUAGAUACCCCUGUAGUC